UAGGGUUCUUGUAGUUGAAUGA
RNAcentral lists this transfer RNA (22 nucleotides) under Xiphophorus gordoni (northern platyfish). RNAcentral's name for it is "partial tRNA-Glu". Lineage: Eukaryota; Metazoa; Chordata; Actinopteri; Cyprinodontiformes; Poeciliidae. The record is from RNAcentral.